AUGCAGUCAGCCCAAAGACCACACAGUUGGAAAAACUUAGGUCUAAAUCAAAGACUACUGGUUCUAAUUCUACUUGUCCCUGACUUGGAAAAGUUCUGCAGCUUCUGGAUUCUGUUCCCUCUCCUACAAAACAGAGUAAUUUUCCCAGCUUAUUUUAGAUAUGAGUUGUGCAACUUUAAUCUUCUUUCCAUGUUCCAGCACACCUUCCAUACAGUGUCUUCUUGUCUACCAGGAAAAAAAAAAAGCCCUGUUUCAGCAAGGCCCACAGGGUCUUCUGUUAUUUGGCCUUUGUCUGCCUUUGAAGCUUCAUUGCUUGCCAUCCUAAAGUCACUCCUUAAACUUCUUUAUCUUUAUACAUGCUAUUCUGUCAGUUUUGAAGUUCCUUCCCCUUUUGUUUACCUGGUAAAGUAUUAUUCAAUAUUUGAAACUCAAUGUAAGCAUCGCUUUUGUUGUUGUUGUUGUUGUUGUUGUCGUUUCUAGGGCCACACCUGCAGCAUAUGGAGGUUCCCAGGCUAGGGGUCUAAUUAGAGCUGUAGCCCCCGGCGUACGCCACAGCCAUAGUAACGUGGGAUCCUCGCUGCGUCUGCAACCUACACCACAGCUCACAGCAACGCCAGAUCCUUAACCCACUGAGUGAGGCCAGGGAUUGAACCAGCAACCUCAUGGUUCCUAGUCGGAUUCGCCAACCACUGGGCCACGACAGGAACUCCAGCAUCACUUAUUUAUUUAUUUAUUUACACCGUCAUUUUAGGGCCACACCCGCAACAUAUGGAGGUUCCCAGGCUAGGGGUCAGGUCAGAGCUACAGCUGCUGGCCUUUGCCACAGCCACAGCAAUGCCAGAUCAGAACCGCACAUGCAGCCUGCACCACAGCUCGAGGCAAGUUCGGAUCCUUAACCCACUGAGCGAGGCCAGGGAUUGAACCCACAUCCUCAUGGAUACUAGUUGGAUUGUUUCUGCUAAGCCACAACUGGAGCUCCCUAGCAUUGCUUUUUAUAAAAGCCUUCCUGACACUUGUAUUAGGAUUGUGAACUGGAGAUUGGCACUUGUCAUUUGCCUCUACAAAGAUUGAAUCAUGAGCCUGCAGCUGCUGACCCUCGACAGCCCUUGAAAGGAGCUCAAGGUGGAACUCAGGAGUAGGAGAUCUGUGCUCUGGGAAAACUGGCAGAACAGGUCUUUAGAUAGAUACUUUUAGGAGAAAAUUUUAUGAGCCCAGUUCUGGCAUCCUGUUAUAUCUAGAAAAGCACUAAAAUCCUUCAAAUCUGCUCCUCGUGACUAGCAGUAACCAUCACAAGACUAGUAGUGCCCUUCUGUAAAGUAUGUGCUUGGUUGCAUGUACCUCCCCCUUUACCAAAAUCACGCUUAUGCUGACAUCCACCCCCCAAACCCACCUACCUCUUUGGAGAGGUAUGUCAGAGUUAUCUAAAAUGCCACCUCCUGGGCUAUAGUCCUCAUUUGGCCCCAAAUAAAACUUAACUCUCAACUUUUAGGUUGUACA
Molecule: long non-coding RNA, 1497 nt
Filed under: Sus scrofa (pig)
Lineage: Eukaryota; Metazoa; Chordata; Mammalia; Artiodactyla; Suidae
Description: lncRNA (ENSSSCG00070020435.1)
Source: RNAcentral